AGUAUAAUGCCUGAUUAAAAGGGUAGCUUUGAUAGAGCUAAUCAUGUAAUUUUUUACUUAUACUA
This 65-nucleotide transfer RNA is filed under the name Maja crispata. Its description in RNAcentral is "tRNA-Ile". The record is from RNAcentral. Lineage: Eukaryota; Metazoa; Arthropoda; Malacostraca; Decapoda; Majidae.